GACGAACGCUGGCGGCGUGCUUAACACAUGCAAGUCGAACGGAAAGGCCCUGCUUUUGUGGGGUGCUCGAGUGGCGAACGGGUGAGUAACACGUGAGUGACCUGCCCUUGACUUUGGGAUAACUUCAGGAAACUGGGGCUAAUACCGGAUAGGAGCUCCUGCUGCAUGGUGGGGGUUGGAACGUCUCGGCGGUUGGGGAUGGACUCGCGGCUUAUCAGCUUGUUGGUGGGGUAGUGGCUUACCAAGGCUUUGACGGGUAGCCGGCCUGGGAGGGUGACCGGCGACAUUGGGACUGAGAGAGGGACCAGACUGCAACGGUAGGCAGCAGUGGGGAAUAUUACACAAUGGGCGGGAGCCUGAUGCAGCGACGCCGCGUGCGGGAUGACGGCCUUCGGGUUGUAAACCGCUUUCGCCUGUGACGAAGCGUGAGUGACGGUAAUGGGUAAAGAAGCACCGGCUAACUACGUG
RNAcentral lists this ribosomal RNA (468 nucleotides) under uncultured bacterium. RNAcentral's name for it is "partial 16S ribosomal RNA". It matches the Rfam family "Bacterial small subunit ribosomal RNA", at positions 28 to 507 of the family's 1533-position model. The record is from RNAcentral.